Molecule: long non-coding RNA, 1005 nt
Filed under: Polistes fuscatus (common paper wasp)
Lineage: Eukaryota; Metazoa; Arthropoda; Insecta; Hymenoptera; Vespidae
Description: uncharacterized LOC122525617, transcript variant X1
Source: RNAcentral
UCAGAGAAUUUCUAUUUCUAUAGGUAAUUUAAUUAAUUAAUGUUAGGUGGUGCUGAAUAUUGAAUGAUGAAGGAAUUUUUAACUGGAAUUCAUAUUAUUGGAAUAUUUUAACUGGAUUUCAUAUUAUCUGGGUUUUGUUAUGUUUAUAGAAAUAUAAUUAAAACUUAACAGUGGAUAGCAGCAGGUACUAAUUAUAGCAUUGGGUUUUCUAAAUGAUAUUUGGGAAUGUUCGAAGUUUAUUAAACGAUUACGCGAUCGUACGUAUCGUCUCUUACAAAUAUUUUAACAAAACGGGAGAAAAAGAAAAAGGGGAGAGAGAAAGAAAAAAGAAAAAAAAAACAAAAAAAAAGAAAAAUAAAAACAAAAGAAGAACAGAAAUAUCAUAAAGCGAGUAUCGAUCGAUCUAGCAAAAUAAAAAAAGAAGGUGCAUCAAAUUGUGAGAAUAAAUAUAAUACUUAGAGAUAUAAAAGAGAAAAGAAAAGAAGAAAAGGUACCACGCACGUAAACGAAGGUUGCCAUUUGGACUUAUUAAUGGAAUGAUUUGUCUGAAUGAGACAUCGUUGCGUUCUUAAAGUCUUAUUGCUUGUUUAGGUUAUGUUUGAGAUUCGCCAUUACAAAAUAUUCGUUUGUUUCGAUUGUUGUCCAAAUCUUGUUGGCAACGGUGACAAUUUUGUUACAUUAUUUGUUUUCCUUCUCUCCACGAAAAUAACAUUUAUUGCACGUUAAAUAAUACAGGGAAUGUCGUUACGUAAACUGAACAAAAAGUUUUCUUUCAUCGAUCUUUGAAAAACAAAACCGACAAGUCCAAAGUAUUCCGUUAAUCGCCAGAAAAGCAUAUACAUAUGAAGAAAGACGCGAACGUUUAGACAAAUUUCACGAGCUUAAUAUCAGUCCUUAAUAAUUUUCAAACGUAUGAAAAGAUUAUAGGACAUUGGUACCGCAUUAGCACCCAUUCUAAGUCCGAAGACAUGAAAUUUGAGAGAGAAAGAAAGAAAGAAAGAUAAA